AGGCUGAAACCUAACCAAUAAUUCAUUCACAUUCAACACACAUAGCCACACACAAACACACACACACAGAGCCGCACACACACACACACACACACACGCUCAGCCGCGCACACACGCACGCGCACACACACACACACACACACAGGGCGGUCAUGGCGUCUGAAGCAGUGGAACUGAACAAAGAUGCCAACAGUCACAGACAAGACGGAGAGAUUGUGAGGCGUGGAUACAGUACAAGAAGGCUCUCGCGCCCACUCAACAUGAACACCUACGCUAAUAAGAAGAGCGCGGCGGAGAGCAUGCUGGACGUAGCACUGCUGAUGGCUAACGCGUCUCAGCUGAAGGCCGUGAUGGAGCAGGGGCCCGAGUUCACCUUCUACAUCCCACUGAUCACACUCAUCAGUAUCUCACUCGUACUGCAGAUCAUUGUCGGCGUUUUACUCAUAUUCAUCGUGAAGUGGAAUCUGAACGAUGAAAGUAAACACUACCACCUGGACGUUCUGGAAAACAUCUCCACAGCCCUGGUCUUCAUCAUCGUCGUUGUGAACAUCUUCAUCACAGCGUUCGGUGUGCAGAGACCCAACACGGGCGUGUGAUCCACACCGAGAACACACACACACACCAAUCAGGUCUGAGCUGUAAGGGAACUAGAGGUCCAUUGGGGAUCUGGGAUCUCUAUGGGGAAGUUUUCACCAUCACCAGACCUGCUGCGUUCCUCCUGACUGUACAAGUGUGUGGAUCAGGGCCGAGUGCAAGACACAAACACCACCACCAGGAUUCUGUACAAACAUCUGCUGAAAUUUCCCCGGUCAGGUUUCAUCCCGUGUCCAUGUGUGUGUUUUUGUGAUCGAUUAUUAAUGACACCAAAUGCUGCCUGGGUUUAAAACUUUCACCAAAACUUUUUCUUGUUCUACAGAAAUGCAUGUCGUGUAUCAUAGUGUUAAGUUUUAAUAAACACCUGUACUGUGUGUUCAGGAUGAGCUGACAGAGGGUUACACCAUGUGUAAUGUGUACAUAUUCACACUGACACUCAACACAGCCAUAGGGACGGAGCACACACUCGAGCAUGCGAUCAUGAAUCGUUUGCAAACAAUUCACUCCAGUUUAAGGGAGAAGAUUUGGAAGCACUUAGAAAAGAGACGGAUUUCACCACAGACCAAGUUUAGACUCCGCUGAGAGCUUCAGCAAUGUCAUUGUGGCCUGUAACAUUUUCUGACUCCUCAAAGUCCUGAUGAGUUUAUUUAAACCCAUAAACUCAUUGGGACGACAUGGAAAUGUUUUUGUUGAGAGCCAGUUAAACACACACACACACACACACACACACACACACACACACACACACAGAGUAAAUGACUCACCGUAAUCAAGCUGUUGGACAGUGACAUGUUGUAGUGAAGCAGACGUUAGUUUAAUAAAUUCAGCUUGUAAUCAGAGUCUGAAUGAAAUCUUCACAUGCUUUACACACACACACACCUGUGUACUUUAAUGUAUUAUUCUGCUUAACUUCAGCUCAGAUACACAGCUCAUGUUUAUCUUUUUAUUUUUUAAUAUGUAUAAAAUGUUUAUUCUAACCAAAGUGUGUAUAUAAUUAUAUAUCUAAAUAUAGUGUGUGUGUGUGUGUGUGUGUGUGUGUGUGUGUGUGUGUGUGUGUGUGUGUGUGUGUGUGUGUAUUGACGAGUUAUUUGUACUCUAGGUGUUUUCUUCAUAACUUCGCCUUUUAAGACGAAUACUGUGUCCGUGUGCAGCCAAACGUACACCAGCUCCUCUAUGCAACAGUGUGGCUGAAGAAUGGUUUAUUUUUCUGUAAAGAAAUUGUGUGUGUGUGUGUGUGUGUGUGUGUGUGUGUGUGUGUGUGUGUGUGUGUGUGUGUGUGUGUGAGAUUAUAAAGAAAGCCAGUAUAUAUCAGUACAAUUUAUUGUAAAAGUCUGAACUGUCUUUAAACACAUAAAAAUGAUAAAACACA
RNA transcript from Tachysurus fulvidraco (yellow catfish), 1963 nucleotides. It is a transcript of the gene named ninjurin 1, with no coding region annotated. The transcript is spliced from 5 exons. NCBI's taxonomy places the organism in Eukaryota, Metazoa, Chordata, Actinopteri, Siluriformes, Bagridae. The record is from RefSeq and is a predicted model, not a curated record.